GUUUACCCAAAAAGUAUCUAAAUUUUGACAUAAGUUUUUAUUGUGAACAUCUCUUAUUUCUUAUAGAUGGACCGCAUCAUCUUUUGUGUCUUCUUGGAAGUUGACUUCAAAAUUUUCAAGAAGAAAAUGAGUGAAUAUUUCCCUACAGAGGGAUUAGAAGCAAAGGGCCUCUCUCCUCCUCCCAAGAAGAGCAAAGCAAAGAAGUCAGAAAGUGUGAAAGAGUCUAAUGAGGGUAGGUGGCAUUUGUUCUUUCCCUAAAAAUCCCCAGCCACUAUUUAUUAAGGAGAAAAAAAUUGGAUCUUUUUUCAUUUUUUAAACUGGCCAGGAUAUGCUCAAUUUUUUAGGCAAUUCUAGUGUCCCAUGCAUCCCUGCAGGAGCCUGUAGAUAAAUCAAAGAUUAUUAUUUGUAUAUUACUUAAUACCUUUUAUUGUUUCCAAAUUGCUUCCAGCACCAUCACCCCCCCCCACACACACACACAAUACACUCUUUUAAUCCUCAUUGUAAGAUAAACAUCAGAUACAGGUUUAUUUGUUUCUGAGGGCUUUUUUUAAGUAAAUGAAAAAAAAAAAAGAGCCAUGUUCCCAGUAUAAUGUAUUUUCUCUUUCUGCAAAGUGGAAAAUUGCAGGUUAUCUUUGCAAGUAACAUUGUCUGAAAUUGUGUGAUGGUUAAGGUCAAGAUCAAUGCGCAUUGGCGCAUUGCCCGAUGACUAAACUAUUGGCUUAUUGGGAUAAUUUGUUCUUCUCUUGAACAUAUUCCCAGAAUCAAACUACUGCAAUGGAUGAUAAAAAUACUUCCUGCUGAACAUUUUAUUUUGUUUUGUAUCGACUGUAGAGUCCAUGUUUAGCUCUAUUCUGCAAAGAAAGAAAGCAUUGAGCAGUGGAAAAAGUCUUGGAUUGUACUUCAGAAGGUCUGAGUUCAAACACUGGCUUUGACACUAUCUGUGCAGCCCUUCAGCUUAUCUUUCCUUACUAUGCCAAAUGAGAAACUUGGGUUAGACAUCUUCUAAGGUCUCUUCUAUAGUAUCUCUCCCUUUCUGAAUAUCUAAGGAUUCUUUUGGGUAACCAGGGUAUUGUUUAGGGAUCCAGAAGAACUAACACUUAUGAAAUACUUGUCCUAGCUGUGCUCUAGGAACAUAAUGAGGAAUCUAUGAUUAACGUUCUAAAAAUUGCUAGACAUUAAGUGUUUUGGGACAACUAGAUGAAUACUACUCUUGGAGUCAAGAUCUGAGUUCAAGUAAGACUUCAGAGAUUUACUGUGUGACUUUAGGCAAGUUACUUAACCCCUAUUUCCUUCAGUUCCUAAUCUGUAAAAAGGCAGCUGUUUUUUAUAAUGAAAUAGCAAAGUAUUCUAGUAUCUUUGCCAACAAAAUUCCAUGGACAAGAGUCCAUUAAGAAUUCAUUCAUUCAUUCAUUUAUUUAUAUAUUAAUUCAAAAAAUAUUUAUUAAUCACGGGGGAGGGGAGAGAAAAAUAAAAAGAAACUAGAGCCUUUAUCUCCAAAAUUUUGUAUGUAGAGCAACAACUAAAUCAAAAUAGAAAGUAUGUGUAUAUAUGUGUGUGUGUGUGUGUACAUAUAUACAUACAUAUGUAGUUUGAACAAGGUGUUAAUAGUAUGGAUGAUGUCACUCCUGACCAAAAGGAUCAGGAAAGAUUCAAUAAAGAAAUAGCAUUUCAACUGAACUUUGAAGGAUAAGGAUGAUUUAAAGAGGUGGAGUUAGGGUGAGAGGAGAAUGCAGAAGAAAUCAUAGGAUGGCUAGAAUAGAUGUCAGAAGAACUAUAAUUCACUCCCCUAAUUGACAAAUGAGGAAACUUCAGGGAUCAGGGAUGUUCUCCAACAUCAUUCAAUAUUUGAGGCAUAUGGAAAAAUAUAAACACAAAGACCCAGAGAAUGUAGGAUAUGUGUAAGGAAAGUAACUUUUCCACUUCAACUUGAGUAGAAUAUGGAAGAGAAAAUAGUGUGAGAAGGCUGAAAAAGCAAGUACAGAUAGAUUGUGAUUGGCCAUGAAUACAAGAUUAAGGAGCCUGGACUUUUUUUGAUUGGCAAUGGGGAACAUUUAAAAGUUUGCAAGGUAUUUAUAAUGUGAUAAAAGCCAUACAUUAGGGAAAUUAUUCUGAUAGUGAUAUAUAGGGUAAGUUGAAGGGAGGGAGAUCAGAGAAAAAAGUAUGAAGAAGAUAGCACUUUUCCGAGUUAUCUUCCAAUUCUGAGAUUCUGUGACUGAGUAGCACCUCUGACUGACUUACUAGCUGUGGGAUCUUGGAUGAAUCACAUCCUUUUGGAAUCCUCAGUGACCUAAUCUAAAAAGGGGUUAUCAGCAUUCCAGUUACACAGACUUGUGAAGAAAGUGCUUUGUGAUGAAAAAGCAUUCUGCAUGUGAUGUGAGCCUUUUCUCUUGUGCUCUCUGCUGGUGAGGGUGAAACAGGUACAAACAUUAAGCUGCCUUUCCCCUGGAGAGUUUCAUCCUUCCCAUCAAAGGUAUGUCAUCCUUCAAAGAUUUGUUGUUGGUUUUUCUCCCCAUCGAGAACUGCUCUUUUGCCCUUUCAGCUUGUCAUGUUAUGGGUAAUACACUGAAGACUGUUUUCCUCAUAACAUGUUAUUAUCAAGGGAACUCCUGAAAGUUACUCUUUCCCCCCCCCCAAAAAAAAUGUUUCACUCUCCACUAAAAUAAGUUACUUUUUUGAAACCUCUUGACAAUGAGUCAGUGAUGUGGCUUUAGUUGCCCAGCCCCAGUGUGGGAAGAGUCACCAUGGUCCAUAAAGAUUAAGGAAAUAAUCCUUUCGUUUUCUAAGGCAUCUUUGUGCCUUAGGGGACAUCGUUGUGUCAGUCACAUCAUAAUUACAUCUAAAUGACGAGCAUGUCCUUGGCACGCCAGGAUGGCAUUAUUUGAAGAGCAGAUACAUCUUCCUGAGUUUAAUUCUGCCCUCUGACAUUUAGUAGUUAUGUGACACUGAGCAGAUCAUUUAACCUGGUUUGCCUCAGUUUCCUUAUCUGUAAAAAGCUAGAGAGGGAAAAUGGCAAAUCACAAAGGUAUCUUUGUCAAGAAAACCUUGAAUAGGGUCAUGAAGAGUUGGAUACAGCUAAAAUGAUUAAGCAUCAACAAAUUAUUUUCUAUAGUACAAUAAUAUUCCAUUACAUUCCUGAACCAAUGUUUCUAACCAUUUGACAAUGAUGGACAUUUUAACAAAAAUUUUAAUUCUUUUCUACCUCAAAGAAUACUAUUAUAAAUAUUUUGCUACAUAUAAUAUCCUUCUUUUUUAUUCAUUUAAUACAACUUUGAGAUUGUAAGCUCUUGGAGAGUAGGGAUUUUAUCUUGUCUCUUUUUGUAUUCCCAAUGCUUAAUAUGGUCCCUGGUAAAUGGUAAAGACUCUUGAAUGCUUAAUAAUUGAUUAACGGAAUACUGGGUGACAAAGCCAAGACUCAGGAAGAUGAAAUAAUUUUCUGAAGGUUUUUAGCAUGUUUGUGACUGACCUCAUAUACAGUGCUUUGUCCAAAAGCCAGACUACCUCUUGGUUCUAUAAUUCACCAUCCAGUUCUCUGCACAUAGUAAUGGAGCAUUUUAUGGACUAACAAAUCAUUUUUGCUCAUAAUAAGCAAAGUGGAAUAGUGGAAAAUGUUCCACUAAACAAACGCAAAUUUGAGGUUUAAAUCCCCACUCUGAUUCUAGCUAUGUGGCCACAUAACUUCUCUGCAUCUUAGUUUCUUCACCUAUAAAACAAGGAGAUUCCUUCUAGCUCUAGGAUUCUAAGUAGUUAAUACAAAUAUCAGUUUCCUCAUUUUACAUAAAAUAAAAAUAGGACCCCUGAGGAAUGCUCUGUUCCUUUUGAAUUUGCUUGCUCUCCAACUAGCUGGACAAAUAGAUGCCACCAGAGACACUCACUGCAGCCCCUUUGCUUCAUUUACAGAUGUCCCACAAAGCUGUCUAUAAAUCACUUUUUUAGAAAUAAAGUGUAUCCUAUCAUAUUUCCCUAAUGAAUUACAUUUUAAAGCUCAGAGAAUUAUUCCCACAAGUAUGAAAAUCUCCCUACAGUGUAUUGUGGCCAUCAUUAGGCUGCACCGGUGCUUGAUAGGAAUCACAAUUUAAUAGUAUACUUCUCUAGAGUAGCACUCUCCUGACACUAAGACAAAUCAACAUCUUUCUACCACCAGCAAGACAUCCUUCCUAAGCUCCUUUAGGAGUUGUUACCUCCUUUUCCAUUUAACCAAUUCUAUACUUUAUGAAGUGUUUUUUUUUCCCAUUGUUUUGUGCUUCCUUUUCCAAAUUGACUACUUUUUCAAGAUUCUCUUAUAUAAUUCUCAUUUGUUUUCCCAUUGUUUCUUCUACUUCUC
Long non-coding RNA from Sarcophilus harrisii (Tasmanian devil), 4321 nucleotides. The record is from Ensembl. Lineage: Eukaryota; Metazoa; Chordata; Mammalia; Dasyuromorphia; Dasyuridae.